UACGGUAAAUACGUUCCCGGACCUUGCACACACCGCCCGUCAAGCCAUGGAAGCUGGGUGUACCUAAAGUCGGUAACCGUAAGGAGCCGCCUAGGGUAAAACUAGUGACUGGGGCU
Molecule: ribosomal RNA, 116 nt
Filed under: uncultured bacterium
Lineage: Bacteria
Description: partial 16S ribosomal RNA
Rfam family: Bacterial small subunit ribosomal RNA
Source: RNAcentral